UGUCAAGUCGGAUGUGAAAUCCCCGGGCUCAACCUGGGAACUGCAUUCGAAACUGGCAGGCUUGAGUCUUGUAGAGGGGGGUAGAAUUCCAGGUGUAGCGGUGAAAUGCGUAGAGAUCUGGAGGAAUACCGGUGGCGAAGGCGGCCCCCUGGACAAAGACUGACGCUCAGGUGCGAAAGCGUGGGGAGCAAACAGGAUUAGAUACCCUGGUAGUCCACGCCGUAAACGAUGUCUACUUGGAGGUUGUGCCCUUGAGGCGUGGCUUCCGGAGCUAACGCGUUAAGUAGACCGCCUGGGGAGUACGGCCGCAAGGUUAAAACUCAAAUGAAUUGACGGGGGCCCGCACAAGCGGUGGAGCAUGUGGUUUAAUUCGAUGCAACGCGAAGAACCUUACCUGGUCUUGACAUCCACAGAACUUUCCAGAGAUGGAUUGGUGCCUUCGGGAACUGUGAGACAGGUGCUGCAUGGCUGUCGUCAGCUCGUGUUGUGAAAUGUUGGGUUAAGUCCCGCAACGAGCGCAACCCUUAUCCUUUGUUGCCAGCGAUUAGGUCGGGAACUCAAAGGAGACUGCCAGUGAUAAACUGG
RNAcentral lists this ribosomal RNA (585 nucleotides) under Salmonella enterica subsp. enterica serovar Heidelberg. Its description in RNAcentral is "bacterial SSU rRNA". It matches the Rfam family "Bacterial small subunit ribosomal RNA", at positions 581 to 1166 of the family's 1533-position model. Lineage: Bacteria; Pseudomonadati; Pseudomonadota; Gammaproteobacteria; Enterobacterales; Enterobacteriaceae. The record is from RNAcentral.